Zootoca vivipara (common lizard) is the source of this 567-nucleotide long non-coding RNA. RefSeq lists it as uncharacterized. NCBI's taxonomy places the organism in Eukaryota, Metazoa, Chordata, Lepidosauria, Squamata, Lacertidae. The record is from RefSeq and is a predicted model, not a curated record.
UCUUUUUGGCACACCGGGAAUUCAUGGGGAGUACUGGACUUCCUGCUAACACAUCCAGUACUUUUAGGAUGCCAAAUCCUAGGGCGGACGUGUAAAUGCUGUUUGCAGACCUAUAAAUACGUGAGCAUGCAAUCUUUUGGAUGACACAGGAAUUCGAGAGCACUCUUGGUCUCCCUUCUUUGGUUUCCAACUUGGCAUUUCCAGUCAAACUUCAGCAAUGCAGAUCAGCAUCUUUUACAUCAUUGCUCUUUCAGCGAUGCUCUUAGCUUCUCCAGGAUUCGUCCAUGCAGGGGAACCUCAUAAUUGCGAGGCUAUUGGUGGGUUAUGCAGGGCUGGAUGUGGGAUCAUCUUGCAGAGUGGAACUUGUCCUGGAGGGAAGAAAUGCUGUGAAGACACUACUAAAGGUUAAAAUGGAAAGAAACAUCUGCUUCUUUCAGCAAUGGCUAUAACCCAAGCAACGAGAUGGACGUGCUGCUAAUUUGGCCUGCGGAAAUACUUCCAUGAUGUGGGAAUUUUGAGAAAAUCUGUGUACUAUUUUGAAUAAAUAUUUGAUAUGUUGCUGGGAAA